Molecule: ribosomal RNA, 443 nt
Filed under: uncultured bacterium
Lineage: Bacteria
Description: partial 16S ribosomal RNA
Rfam family: Bacterial small subunit ribosomal RNA
Source: RNAcentral
CCUACGGGAGGCAGCAGUAGGGAAUUUUCGGCAAUGGGGGGAACCCUGACCGAGCAACGCCGCGUGAAUGAUGAAGGUCUUCGGAUUGUAAAGUUCUUUUCUAAGGGACGAAGCAAGUGACGGUACCUUAGGAAUAAGCCUCGGCUAACUACGUGCCAGCAGCCGCGGUAAUACGUAGGAGGCAAGCGUUAUCCGGAAUGACUGGGCGUAAAGGGUGCGUAGGUGGUUUGACAAGUUGGUAGCGUAACUCCGGAGCUCAACUUCGGAACUGCUACUAAAACUGUUGGACUCGAGUGCAGGGGGGGCAGCUGGAAUUUCGAGUGUAGCGGUGGAAUGCGUAGAUAUUAGGAAGAACACCGGUGGCGAAGGCGAGUUGCUGGACUGUAACUGACGCUGAGGCACGAAAGCGUGGGGAGCAAACAGGAUUAGAUACCCGAGUAGUC